This 113-nucleotide non-coding RNA is filed under the name Methanosarcina acetivorans C2A. Its description in RNAcentral is "Archaeal Small RNA 41". It matches the Rfam family "Archaeal Small RNA 41". Rfam says of the family: Highly expressed during nitrogen sufficiency. Capable to bind several ribosome binding sites independently within a polycistronic mRNA. Lineage: Archaea; Methanobacteriati; Methanobacteriota; Methanomicrobia; Methanosarcinales; Methanosarcinaceae. The record is from Rfam by way of RNAcentral.
GUCUACCUAAAAAACACCUAAAUAGACACGCCUCCUAAAUUUGUGCAUAGCAUACAACUCCAGGAAUCCCUCACCUGUAAGGUAGGCAGGUGGGGAAUCCAGGAUUCGAGGGU